This is a long non-coding RNA of Chinchilla lanigera (long-tailed chinchilla), 778 nucleotides long. RefSeq lists it as uncharacterized. The record is from RefSeq and is a predicted model, not a curated record. NCBI's taxonomy places the organism in Eukaryota, Metazoa, Chordata, Mammalia, Rodentia, Chinchillidae. The transcript has 3 exons.
AGGAAAUGCAUCCAGCGGAAAGGAUCACAAUUCAAGUUCAUCUUAAUGGAAGCAUAACACGAAGAACAAAAAGUAGCUUAUCAUGUGCAGCGGGCUGAAGAGCAGAUGGGUUUGAAGGAGAAGUCCCUCCUGCAGAACACAAUGCUCGUGAGGAUAAACCAGCCACCUGCUUGGAUCCCCUCCCUUCUCGUAGGUGGGAGAACCUACUAGAAUUACUUGGAAACUUGUUCUCUACUACCAAAGGGGGCUCACUUCCCAGCUGAAUACCUUCCUGGUGCAGGAGUUUAUGAGCCACACAGGCGAGGUGCAGGACAGAGAAGCCAACUGUGGGAACAGCAGUGUCAAGGAUGGAAAAGUAAAGAACCUAUUCUCAGAAGAACAAAAAGACCAAGUGAUGUGGAAAACACAGGAAAGCAAUACAAAGUGGCCUGGAAAGAAAGGACUGUGUCUCUUUGACUGGAAUACCUAGACCCAGAGAAUCCUGUGGGAAUGACAUCGUGUGAUCGCAGAGGCUAAGCUGCAAAGAUGCUAUGUACUUCUUCCUUGUUUCUUGGAUCACUUGCUCUCAGAACUCAGCCUCUGUAGUGUGAGAAAUUCAGUGUGGCCCGUGGAAAGACUAGCGUAAGGAGGAGCUGAGUCUCAGCCUGAGCAGCACCAACUCGCCAGCCACAGGAGAGAGCCAUCUUGGAUAGAGUUGUUCUCACUGAUGCUGUAGGAACAGAGAAGCGUGUGUAUGCCAAGUUGCCAAGCCCUGAACGGGCAUAUUCAUAGAGCAAAA